GUACAGUGAAAACUCUUCGCCUCCGUUUGGUUUGGGGUUAAGAAAAAAAUAGCUAUUCCAGGAAUAGAGUUAAGUUCAGGGUUAAAGUGGGAUUAAAGUUUUUUUGUGUUUGGUUGGGGGUUGGAGUUAAUCUAGAAUAAUGAAAAAUAGUGUUUGGUUGGAUAGGUGGGAUAAGAAGAUAAUGAUUGAUAAAGAAGGAUAAUGAUUGGUUGGAUUACAUGUGAUAAGAAAGAUGUGAGUUAUUAUGAAUAAAAAAUAGUGUUUGGUUGGAGUUUGAUGGGGUUAGGUGGGAUUAGCUAACCCGGAAUAAUUUAUUUGAGGUAGGGUUAGGUGGGGUUAGCUAACCUAUUUUUUGAGGUGUUUGGAAAUAAAAUGGGGGUUAAGGGGUUAUUC
RNAcentral lists this long non-coding RNA (393 nucleotides) under Ananas comosus (pineapple). RNAcentral's name for it is "long non-coding RNA (ACOM_LNC019061)". Lineage: Eukaryota; Viridiplantae; Streptophyta; Magnoliopsida; Poales; Bromeliaceae. The record is from RNAcentral.